AGGCGACUGUCCAGAGUUGUAAGCUGGAGAGGUUUCAUCCGACGCGGUCCGGGCUCAAUUUCCUUGGAACAGGAGGUCAUGGAGGGUGAGAACCCCGUACAUGGCUUGGGUGCCGCAGUCCUAGUGAUGGUUCCUCUAAGAGUCGGGUUGUUUGGGAAUGCAGCUCAAAAUGGGUGGUAAAUUUCAUCUAAAGCUAAAUAUUGGCGAGAGACCGAUAGCAAACAAGUAGAGUGAUCGAAAGAUGAAAAGUACUUUGAAAAGAGAGUGAAACAGUACGUGAAAUUGUUGAAAGGGAAGCGUUUGGCAUCAGCCCAUGAUGGUCAUCGAACAUCCUGGCUUCUGCCUGGUGCACUCGAUGGCCAUUGGGCCAGCGUCGGCUCUGCCAGCUGGAGAAAGGCCUUGGACAAGUGGCUCCUUUUCGGGAGCGUUAUAGCCCAUGGCGUCAUGCAGCUUGGUGGGGCCGAGGUCCGCGGGUUUUCCUAGGACGCUGGCGUAAUGGUUCCAAGCGACCCGUCUUGAAACACGGACCAAGGAGUCUAACAUCUAUGCGAGUGUUUGGGUGUCAAGCCCGA
Molecule: ribosomal RNA, 572 nt
Filed under: uncultured Archaeorhizomycetes
Lineage: Eukaryota; Fungi; Ascomycota; Archaeorhizomycetes
Description: eukaryotic LSU rRNA
Rfam family: Eukaryotic large subunit ribosomal RNA
Source: RNAcentral